RNAcentral lists this long non-coding RNA (380 nucleotides) under Sipha flava (yellow sugarcane aphid). RNAcentral describes it as "uncharacterized LOC112694290". The record is from RNAcentral. Lineage: Eukaryota; Metazoa; Arthropoda; Insecta; Hemiptera; Aphididae.
AUAAUCACGCCAUAUCGCCUCAAGUUUCGCGGCAACCUCGUUCUUAUAUAAAGGCACCCGAGAUCCUAAUUCCGGCAUAACACAUUUUUUUGUAAAUCAUUACUUUGUCUACACUUUGCUUUCUAAAAAACCAACAAAAAACCAAAAAUGGGCGCUGAAAAGGUAUCCAUGAACAUCGUUGUCGUCGGACAAGUCGAAUCUGCCAAGGUCAUCAAGACCGUCGCCAAAGCUGCACCAAAAAUGAGCCCAUUGACAAAUUGUUAACUCUUGUAAUCCAUAAUAUAUAAAUUCAAAAAUGCCAUAGUCCAAACAGUACGUGUAUAUGAAUAUGUAUAAUAUGUAUUAACAUUUCAAAAUAUAUCAGGCUUUUCCGUUAUUUA